AUACGUAGGGAGCGAGCGUUGUCCGGAAUUACUGGGUGUAAAGGGUGCGUAGGCGGGGGACCAAGUCAGGUGUGAAAACUAUCGGCUCAACCGAUAGCCUGCACUUGAAACUGGUUCUCUUGAGUGAAGUAGAGGCAGGCGGAAUUCCCGGUGUAGCGGUGAAAUGCGUAGAGAUCGGGAGGAACACCAGUGGCGAAGGCGGCCUGCUGGGCUUUAACUGACGCUGAGGCACGAAAGCAUGGGUAGCAAACAGGAUUAGAUACCCUGGUAGUCCAUGCCGUAAACGAUGAUUACUAGGUGUGGGUGGUCUGACCCCAUCCGUGCCGGAGUUAACACAAUAAGUAAUCCACCUGGGGAGUACGGCCGCAAGGUUGAA
RNAcentral lists this ribosomal RNA (376 nucleotides) under uncultured bacterium. RNAcentral's name for it is "bacterial SSU rRNA". It matches the Rfam family "Bacterial small subunit ribosomal RNA", at positions 523 to 898 of the family's 1533-position model. The record is from RNAcentral.